GACGAACGCUGGCGGCGUGCUUAACACAUGCGAGUCGAACGAGAGCGUAGAGAAAGCUUGCUUUUUCUACAAUCUAGUGGCAAACGGGUGAGUAACGCGUAAACAACCUGCCCUACGGAUGGGGACAACAGCUGGAAACGGCUGCUAAUACCGAAUACGUUCCGAAAGUCGCAUGACUAUCGGAAGAAAGGAUGGCCUCUAUUUAUAAGCUAUCGCCGGAGGAGGGGUUUGCGUCUGAUUAGCUAGUUGGAGGGGUAACGGCCCACCAAGGCGACGAUCAGUAGCCGGGCUGAGAGGAUGAACGGCCACAUUGGAACUGAGACACGGUCCAGACUCCUACGGGAGGCAGCAGUGGGGAAUCUUCCGCAAUGGGCGAAAGGCUGACGGAGCAACGCCGCGUGAGUGAAGACGGCCUUCGGGUUGUAAAGCUCUGUUAUACGGGACGAAUAAUCUUGUGGUUAAUACCCAUGAGAAGUGACGGUACCGUAAGAGAAAGCCACGGCUAACUACGUG
Molecule: ribosomal RNA, 513 nt
Filed under: uncultured bacterium
Lineage: Bacteria
Description: partial 16S ribosomal RNA
Rfam family: Bacterial small subunit ribosomal RNA
Source: RNAcentral